Molecule: ribosomal RNA, 253 nt
Filed under: uncultured bacterium
Lineage: Bacteria
Description: partial 16S ribosomal RNA
Rfam family: Bacterial small subunit ribosomal RNA
Source: RNAcentral
UACGUAGGGCGCAAGCGUUGUCCGGAAUUAUUGGGCGUAAAGAGCUCGUAGGCGGCCUGUCGCGUCCGCUGUGAAAUCCCGGGGCUUAACCCCGGGCGUGCAGUGGAUACGGGCUGGCUGGAGGCAGGCAGGGGAGAACGGAAUUCCCGGUGUAGCGGUGAAAUGCGUAGAUAUCAGGAGGAACACCGGUGGCGAAGGCGGCUCUCUGGACGGUGACUGACGCUGAGACGCGAAAGCGUGGGGAGCAAACAGG